This 253-nucleotide ribosomal RNA is filed under the name uncultured bacterium. Its description in RNAcentral is "partial 16S ribosomal RNA". It matches the Rfam family "Bacterial small subunit ribosomal RNA", at positions 524 to 776 of the family's 1533-position model. The record is from RNAcentral.
GACAGAGGGUGCGAGCGUUGUUCGGAAUCAUUGGGCGUAAAGGGUGCGUAGGCGGCUUGGCAAGUUGGAUGUGAAAGCCCCGGGCCUAACCCGGGAAGUGCAUCCAAAACUGCUUUGCUUGAGUCCUGGAGAGGGUGGUGGAAUUCCCAGUGUAGAGGUGAAAUUCGUAGAUAUUGGGAGGAACACCCGUGGCGAAGGCGGCCACCUGGACAGAGACUGACGCUGAGGCACGAAAGCGUGGGGAGCAAACAGG